Molecule: ribosomal RNA, 495 nt
Filed under: uncultured bacterium
Lineage: Bacteria
Description: partial 16S ribosomal RNA
Rfam family: Bacterial small subunit ribosomal RNA
Source: RNAcentral
GACGAACGCUGGCGGCGUGCCUAAUACAUGCAAGUAGAACGCUGAAGGAGGAGCUUGCUUCUAUGGAUGAGUUGCGAACGGGUGAGUAACGCGUAGGUAACCUGCCUGGUAGCGGGGGAUAACUAUUGGAAACGAUAGCUAAUACCGCAUAAUAGCAGUUGUUGCAUGACAACUGUUUGAAAGGUGCAAUUGCACCACUACCAGAUGGACCUGCGUUGUAUUAGCUAGUUGGUGGGGUAACGGCUCACCAAGGCGACGAUACAUAGCCGACCUGAGAGGGUGAUCGGCCACACUGGGACUGAGACACGGCCCAGACUCCUACGGGAGGCAGCAGUAGGGAAUCUUCGGCAAUGGACGGAAGUCUGACCGAGCAACGCCGCGUGAGGGAAGAAGGUUGUCGGAUCGGAAAGCUCUGUUGUAAGGGAAGAACGAGUGUGAGAGUGGAAAGUUCACACUGUGACGGUAUCUGACCAGAAAGGGACGGCUAACUACGUG